RNAcentral lists this ribosomal RNA (253 nucleotides) under uncultured bacterium. RNAcentral describes it as "partial 16S ribosomal RNA". It matches the Rfam family "Bacterial small subunit ribosomal RNA", at positions 524 to 776 of the family's 1533-position model. The record is from RNAcentral.
UACGUAGGCAGCAAGCGUUGUUCAGAAUUACUGGGCGUAAAGAGUUCGUAGGCGGUGCGGCAAGUUCGGUGUGAAAUCUUCCGGCUCAACUGGGAGGGUGCGCUAAAUACUGCCGUGCUCGAGUAUAGGAGAGGUAAGCGGAAUUCCUGGUGUAGCGGUGAAAUGCGUAGAUAUCAGGAGGAACACCGGUGGCGAAGGCGGCAUCCUGGACCGACACUGACGCUGAGGAGCGAAAGCCAGGGGAGCAAACGGG